UGUUCAUUUAUUUUUAACAAUGAUUAUACCAUUGCUAAAUAACAUUUAUUUAGCCAUUAUAUAAUAUUUCAAAAGUCCAUUACUCUAUAUUAUGAAUUAUAAUUACUCAAAAUAUGCAGCAGUGAUAAUAUAAUAUAUUUAUAGAAAAUAAAUAAAAAAAAAAAUUAAAUAAAUAUUAUUAUAUAAUAAGACCUCCCGCCAAAUUGUGAUACUGGAGACGUAAUUUUUCAAGUGAUAACAAUGAAUGCACGUAACAACUGAAUAUCGUCGUAGUUUCUGUCUUACCAUAUUUUUUAGCCAUGGUGUAUACCAUGAUUUUUGAUUAUUGUUUACUUAUUACGUUAGUGAAUAUCUGAAUUGUAGUAUAGCUUAAAUAGUAGAAUAACUAGUUAAAUUAAAUAAUUUAAUAAUAGUACAAAAAUUUAAUAUACAGCACGGCUAUAGAUAUUAUAUUAUCUAGAUUAGAUAGUAUCUAUAGCCGUGAUAAUAUAAUAUAUAUUGAUAAAAUGUCUGUGUUCAGAUUGUUUCCAAAUAUUUCUAUACUGGUAACUAGUGUGGAAAAUAGGACAUGAUCUAUUAUCAAAAUUAGUAUACUGGCUUUAACCAGUAUACUAUCGCACAAUUCACACGGACCAUAGACAUAUUAAUAGCUGGACUACGCCUUUUACACACCCCGUCUAUGUCUCCGUGAGACCAAUAUUGUUAAGCGGCCCCUACACGAUUAAUAAAAUUGUGUCUAUAUUUUGUUCAAUAUUCAUUUCACCCAAACCUCUCAAUAUUAUUGCCCAUUAUUCAGUCGAGAAAUAUUCGUUGGCCAGGUCAUAAAGGUGUUGUUUACGAUGUGUUAAAGGUGUCAGUUUAAUGGCAUUUACCAUCUGCUAUAAAUUAUAGAUUAUAAUUGUUUUAAAAAUGUA
Molecule: non-coding RNA, 914 nt
Organism: Cinara cedri
Lineage: Eukaryota; Metazoa; Arthropoda; Insecta; Hemiptera; Aphididae
Source: the annotation of a GenBank genome assembly